Molecule: ribosomal RNA, 452 nt
Filed under: uncultured bacterium
Lineage: Bacteria
Description: bacterial SSU rRNA
Rfam family: Bacterial small subunit ribosomal RNA
Source: RNAcentral
AGCGAACGCUGGCGGCAGGCCUAACACAUGCAAGUCGAGCGCGUGUCGCAAGACACGAGCGGCAGACGGGAGAGUAACACGUGGGAACGUACCCUUUGGUUCGGAACAACCCAGGGAAACUUGGGCUAAUACCGAAUAAGCCCUUACGGGGAAAGAUUUAUCGCCGAAGGAUCGGCCCGCGUCUGAUUAGCUAGUUGGUGGGGUAACGGCCCACCAAGGCGACGAUCAGUAGCUGGUCUGAGAGGANGAUCAGCCUCACUGGGACUGAGACACGGCCCAGACUCCUACGGGAGGCAGCAGUGGGGAAUAUUGGACAAUGGGCGCAAGCCUGAUCCAGCCAUGCCGCGUGGGUGAUGAAGGCCCUAGGGUUGUAAAGCCCUUUCGGCGGGGAAGAUAAUGACGGUACCCGCAGAAGAAGCCCCGGCUAACUUCGUGCCAGCAGCCGCAGUAAG